GGGCCCGCACAAGCGGUGGAGCAUGUGGUUUAAUUCGAUGAUACGCGAGGAACCUUACCAGGACUUAAAUGUAAGUUGCAUGAUUCAGAAAUGGAUCUUUCUUCGGACUACUUACAAGGUGCUGCAUGGUUGUCGUCAGCUCGUGCCGUGAGGUGUCAGGUUAAGUCCUAUAACGAGCGCAACCCCUAUCGUUAGUUGCCAUCAAGUAAAGUUGGGAACUCUAGCGAAACUGCCGGUGCAAACCGUGAGGAAGGUGGGGAUGACGUCAAAUCAUCACGGCCCUUACGUCCUGGGCCACACACGUGCUACAAUGGUCAGUACAGAAAGCAGCCACUAUGCGAAUAGGAGCUAAUCUUCAAAGCCGGUCUCAGUUCGGAUCGCAGUCUGCAACUCGACUGCGUGAAGCUGGAAUC
This 413-nucleotide ribosomal RNA is filed under the name uncultured bacterium. Its description in RNAcentral is "bacterial SSU rRNA". It matches the Rfam family "Bacterial small subunit ribosomal RNA", at positions 917 to 1333 of the family's 1533-position model. The record is from RNAcentral.